AAGAAUCAGACCGCCCGUACCGCAAACCGACACAGGUAGUCGGGUCGAGAAGACCAAGGUGAGCGAGAGAACUCUCGUUAAGGAACUCGGCAAAAUGACCCCGUAACUUCGGGAGAAGGGGUGCUGAUCGCAAGAUCAGCCGCAGUGAAUAGGCCCAGGCGACUGUUUAUCAAAAACACAGGUUUCUGCAAAAUCGUAAGAUGAAGUAUAGGGGCUGACGCCUGCCCGGUGCUGGAAGGUUAAGAGGAUGGGUUAGCGCAAGCGAAGCUCAGAAUUGAAGCCCCAGUAAACGGCGGCCGUAACAAUAACGGUCCUAAGGUAGCGAAAUUCCUUGUCGGGUAAGUUCCGACCCGCACGAAAGGCGUAACGAUCUGGGCACUGUCUCAACGAGAGACUCGGUGAAAUUAUAAUACCCGUGAAGAUGCGGGUUACCCGCGACAGGACGGAAAGACCCCAUGGAGCUUUACUGUAGCUUGAUAUUGGGUGUUUGUACAACUUGUACAGGAUAGGUAGGAGCCGUAGAAGUCGGGACGCUAGUUUCGACGGAGGCAUCGGUGGGAUACUACCCUCGUUGUAUGAACACUCUAACCCACGCCGGCAAUCACGGCGGGAGACAGUGUCAGGUGGGCAGUUUGACUGGGGCGGUCGCCUCCUAAAAGGUAACGGAGGCGCCCAAAGGUUCCCUCAGAAUGGUUGGAAAUCAUUCGCAGAGUGUAAAGGCAUAAGGGAGCUUGACUGCGAGACCUACAAGUCGAGCAGGGACGAAAGUCGGGCUUAGUGAUCCGGUGGUUCCGCAUGGAAGGGCCAUCGCUCAACGGAUAAAAGCUACCCUGGGGAUAACAGGCUUAUCUCCCCCAAGAGUCCACAUCGACGGGGAGGUUUGGCACCUCGAUGUCGGCUCAUCGCAUCCUGGGGCUGUAGUCGGUCCCAAGGGUUGGGCUGUUCGCCCAUUAAAGCGGUACGCGAGCUGGGUUCAGAACGUCGUGAGACAGUUCGGUCCCUAUCCGUCGCGGGCGCAGGAAAUUUGAGAGGAUCUGUCCUUAGUACGAGAGGACCGGGAUGGACAUACCGCUGGUGUACCAGUUGUUCUGCCAAGGGCAUCGCUGGGUAGCUAUGUAUGGAUGAGAUAAACGCUGAAAGCAUCUAAGUGCGAAACUCACCUCGAGAUAAGAUUUCCCACUCCUUUAUGGAGUUAAGACCCCUGAGAGAUGAUCAGGUAGAUAGGAUGGAAGUGGAAGUGCGGCGACGCAUGGAGCGGACCAUUACUAAUCGGUCGAGGACUUAACC
RNAcentral lists this ribosomal RNA (1287 nucleotides) under metagenome. Its description in RNAcentral is "bacterial LSU rRNA". It matches the Rfam family "Bacterial large subunit ribosomal RNA", at positions 1628 to 2925 of the family's 2925-position model. The record is from RNAcentral.